AUUGAACGCUGGCGGCAGGCCUAACACAUGCAAGUCGAGCGAGCGGCGGACGGGUGAGUAAUGUCUGGGAAACUGCCUGAUGGAGGGGGAUAACUACUGGAAACGGUAGCUAAUACCGCAUACCAUCAGAUGUGCCCAGAUGGGAUUAGCUAGUGGGUGGGGUAACGGCUCACCUAGGCGACGCUCCCUAGCUGGUCUGUGAGGAUGACCAGCCACCAUGGAACUGGGGAACGGUCCAGACUCCUACGGGAGGCAGCAGUGGGGAAUAUUGCACAUGGGGCGCAAGCCGAAUGCAGCCAUGCCGCGUGUGGGAAGAAGGCCUUCGGGUUGUAAAGCACUUUCAGCGGGGAGGCGUUACCCGCAGAAGAAGCACCGGCUAACUCCGUGCCAGCAGCCGCGGUAAUUC
This 406-nucleotide ribosomal RNA is filed under the name uncultured bacterium. RNAcentral describes it as "partial 16S ribosomal RNA". It matches the Rfam family "Bacterial small subunit ribosomal RNA", at positions 29 to 526 of the family's 1533-position model. The record is from RNAcentral.